UACAGAGGUCUCAAGCGUUGUUCGGAUUCAUUGGGCGUAAAGGGCGCGUAGGCGGUCAGCACAAGUCAGUUGUGAAAUCUCCGGGCUUAACUCGGAAAGGUCAACUGAUACUGUGCGACUAGAGUGCAGAAGGGGCAACUGGAAUUCUCGGUGUAGCGGUGAAAUGCGUAGAUAUCGAGAGGAACACCUGCGGCGAAGGCGGGUUGCUGGGCUGACACUGAAGCACGAAAGCGUGGGGAGCAAACAGG
Molecule: ribosomal RNA, 248 nt
Filed under: uncultured bacterium
Lineage: Bacteria
Description: partial 16S ribosomal RNA
Rfam family: Bacterial small subunit ribosomal RNA
Source: RNAcentral